RNAcentral lists this ribosomal RNA (468 nucleotides) under uncultured bacterium. RNAcentral's name for it is "partial 16S ribosomal RNA". It matches the Rfam family "Bacterial small subunit ribosomal RNA", at positions 28 to 507 of the family's 1533-position model. The record is from RNAcentral.
GACGAACGCUGGCGGCGUGCUUAACACAUGCAAGUCGAACGGAAAGGCCCUGCUUUUGUGGGGUGCUCGAGUGGCGAACGGGUGAGUAACACGUGAGUAACCUGCCCUUGACUUUGGGAUAACUUCAGGAAACUGGGGCUAAUACCGUAUAGGAGCUCCUGCUGCAUGGUGGGGGUUGGAAAGUUUGGGCGGUUGGGGAUGGACGCGCGGCUUAUCAGCUUGUUGGUGGGGUAGUGGCUUACCAAGGCUUGGACGGGUGGCCGGCCUGGGAGGGUGACCGGCCACAUGGGGACUAGGAUACGGCCCAGACUCCUACGGGAGGCAGCAGUGGGGAAUAUUGCACAAUGGGCGGAAGCCUGAUGAAGCAACGCCGCGUGCGGGAUGACGGCCUUCGGGUUGUAAACCGCUUUCGCCUGUGACGAAGCGUGAGUGACGGUAAUGGGUAAAGAAGCACCGGCUAACUACGUG